AUUUGUUCAUCUGCUGUGUGACUUCAGCACCUGAAACAUGUUCCUUUACCUGUUUGUACUUUUCUCUCACUGCAUAGCUUUGGGCUCCAUGAACAGCAUAAAGCAGGAACGUGCUGAAGAAGCUGUUGCAGAGCGAGGAAACAUCAACCUGACCUGUACAUAUGAUGGUCUUAUCAACAAUAUCCAGUGGUACCGACAAUACCAGAGAUCCAGACCAGAGUUCCUGCUCUACAUCACAGAGGGAGGAUCAGUUCAUCGAGCUGUGUCGGGAUUCUCAGCUCACAUUGACAAAACAGAGAAACGUGCAGAUCUGGAGAUCUCCUCUGCUGCAGUGUCUGACUCUGCUGUGUACUACUGUGCU
Molecule: non-coding RNA, 361 nt
Organism: Maylandia zebra (zebra mbuna)
Lineage: Eukaryota; Metazoa; Chordata; Actinopteri; Cichliformes; Cichlidae
Source: the annotation of a RefSeq genome assembly